RNAcentral lists this ribosomal RNA (284 nucleotides) under uncultured bacterium. RNAcentral describes it as "partial 16S ribosomal RNA". It matches the Rfam family "Bacterial small subunit ribosomal RNA", at positions 335 to 611 of the family's 1533-position model. The record is from RNAcentral.
UGUCCUACGGGACGCAGCAGUAGGGAAUCUUCCACGAUGGGCGAAAGCCUGAUGGAGCAACGCCGCGUGGGUGAAGAAGGUCUUCGGAUCGUAAAACCCUGUUGUUAGAGAAGAAAGUGCGUGAGAGUAACUGUUCACGUUUCGACGGUAUCUAACCAGAAAGCCACGGCUAACUACGUGCCAGCAGCCGCGGCAAUACGUAGGUGGCAAGCGUUAUCCGGAUUUAUUGGGCGUAAAGGGAACGAAGGCGGUCUUUUAAGUCUGAUGAGCAAGCCUUCGGCUUA